CAGUCGAGCGAGCGGAACCACAGAUUUACUUCGGUAAUGACGUUGGGAAAGCGAGCGGCGGAUGGGUGAGUAACACGUGGGGAACCUGCCCCUAAGUCUGGGAUACCAUUUGGAAACAGGUGCUAAUACCGGAUAAUAAAGCAGAUCGCAUGAUCAGCUUUUGAAAGGCGGCGUAAGCUGUCGCUAAGGGAUGGCCCCGCGGUGCAUUAGCUAGUUGGUAAGGUAACGGCUUACCAAGGCGACGAUGCAUAGCCGAGUUGAGAGACUGAUCGGCCACAUUGGGACUGAGACACGGCCCAAACUCCUACGGGAGGCAGCAGUAGGGAAUCUUCCACAAUGGACGCAAGUCUGAUGGAGCAACGCCGCGUGAGUGAAGAAGGUUUUCGGAUCGUAAAGCUCUGUUGUUGGUGAAGAAGGAUAGAGGUAGUAACUGGCCUUUAUUUGACGGUAAUCAACCAGAAAGUCACGGCUAACUACGUGCCAGCAGCCGCGGUAAUACGUAGGUGGCAAGCGUUGUCCGGAUUUAUUGGGCGUAAAGCGAGCGCAGGCGGAAAAAUAAGUCUAAUGUGAAAGCCCUCGGCUUAACCGAGGAACUGCAUCGGAAACUGUUUUUCUUGAGUGCAGAAGAGGAGAGUGGAACUCCAUGUGUAGCGGUGGAAUGCGUAGAUAUAUGGAAGAACACCAGUGGCGAAGGCGGCUCUCUGGUCUGCAACUGACGCUGAGGCUCGAAAGCAUGGGUAGCGAACAGGAUUAGAUACCCUGGUAGUC
This 768-nucleotide ribosomal RNA is filed under the name uncultured bacterium. RNAcentral's name for it is "bacterial SSU rRNA". It matches the Rfam family "Bacterial small subunit ribosomal RNA", at positions 59 to 795 of the family's 1533-position model. The record is from RNAcentral.